This 74-nucleotide transfer RNA is filed under the name Bactrothrips quadrituberculatus. Its description in RNAcentral is "tRNA-Gly". The record is from RNAcentral. Lineage: Eukaryota; Metazoa; Arthropoda; Insecta; Thysanoptera; Phlaeothripidae.
UAUAUAUAUUAGUAUAAUUAUAAUACAUUUAAUUUCCAAUUAAAAAAUUUUAAACUUAAAAUAUAUAAUUAUUU